CGAGGGUGAAGCGUACGGGUGGCCCGGUAACAGGAUGGACUGUACAGCGAACAGAUAGACUAAAGGCCUCACUCACCAUCCCGCUUCCUGUCCGGACUAGAAGAGAGAGAGACGCGGCUGCGCCCUUGCUAUUUAUAGCAAAUCGCCUGGUCGACUUCAUCAAGCUAAAACAUAGAGAUGUGCCCACAUUGGCUGUACUCCUUGGAUGAGGAUCUGUUCAGCGACCCGUGAGGGUUUUCUGCAUUUACAAGACAUAAUGAGGAAUGAUUUCUCCCCACAAUCUCCGGUUGCUGUGCUGCUCGCUGUCUGCAUAGUGAUGCCUCUAAGCGUGCGCGCUUGCACUGACCCACAAAUGGAGUUCUGAUUAGCUGCUAUGGAAACAGAGCCCGGAGUGCCAACAUCAGUGAGCGAAGGUGAGGAGAAGAGGAAAAGUCAAGACAAAUUUUGGAACAUUGUGGACACGUCUGAAUCUUAAUAUUACAGAGUCUAUCAUUCUAUGAGCAGUUAAAUAUUUCUCCAGCUGUUUGGAAUUCGAAGCGUAUGGAGAAAAUAAUCUUCCUGAUUCUCCACACCAGGGAAAGAAGAACCUACCUAUGAGCAUGAAUUAAGUUAUU
Hyla sarda is the source of this 614-nucleotide long non-coding RNA. RefSeq lists it as uncharacterized. The record is from RefSeq and is a predicted model, not a curated record. NCBI's taxonomy places the organism in Eukaryota, Metazoa, Chordata, Amphibia, Anura, Hylidae. The transcript is spliced from 3 exons.